Molecule: transfer RNA, 87 nt
Filed under: Orchesella cincta
Lineage: Eukaryota; Metazoa; Arthropoda; Collembola; Entomobryomorpha; Orchesellidae
Description: Selenocysteine transfer RNA
Rfam family: Selenocysteine transfer RNA
Source: Rfam by way of RNAcentral
GCCCAGAUGAGCCUUGGUGGUUCCGGGGUGCAGGCUUCAAACCUGUAGGUGAUGCGAGUCACAGAGGUUCGAUUCCUCCUUCUGGGC